GUGAGAAGCACGCAAGCGCCUCUAGCGGCUGUCAAUGAGACAGCAGCUAGAGGAAAUAGGGGAAGGCUUAACCCAUUCAUAAACAUAGCAGUUUCUCUGAAACUGCUAUGUUUAUGAAAAAAUGGGUUAACCCUAGCUGGACCUGGCACCCAGACCACUUCAUUAAGCUGAAGUGGUCUGGGUGCCUAGAGUGGUCCUUUAAUGUUAG
This is a non-coding RNA of Pelobates cultripes (western spadefoot toad), 208 nucleotides long. The record is from the annotation of a GenBank genome assembly. NCBI's taxonomy places the organism in Eukaryota, Metazoa, Chordata, Amphibia, Anura, Pelobatidae.